CUGGAUAUGCAUCACUGGGCGGCGGAGGAGUUAUUGUGUGGCGGCCGGCAAAGUUCCGGCCGGUGAUGGUGGUGGUGCACGGCCUUCCGCCGCUCCCCGGGACCCACGUGCAACCAUUUGGUGAAGGCGGCCUUACAGGGCGGCCCCGCUGCAAAGUCGGUAGCAAAAUAUUUUGGCUUCUCGUCAUCCAUAACUGCUCUGCUUCUUCAUCAAGAAGUCGAGUGGCCUCGUACGAUUUUACGCUUAGGAGCAAAACUAGUGCUGCAAUGCUAAAGAUUACUUUUGCAGACC
This 291-nucleotide long non-coding RNA is filed under the name Erythranthe guttata (spotted monkey flower). Its description in RNAcentral is "long non-coding RNA (EGUT_LNC003852)". The record is from RNAcentral. Lineage: Eukaryota; Viridiplantae; Streptophyta; Magnoliopsida; Lamiales; Phrymaceae.